GAAAUUUUUUGUGAAAAUAAAAAAGUUUUGAUUGGUAUUGAUUUCAAUGCAAGAAUGGGUCACCCUAAUUUACUUACCUUCUUUACUGAUGAAGGAUGAGGAUUCGAGGUUGGUAACAAGAAAUUCUUGCGAUAAUUCUUAUAAUGAAUGUGAUAAAAAGUUGUAUUAUUGGUGUGUAAAUAAUAAUUUAUUAUAUCUUAAUGGCUUAUUACCCAGUGAUCCUAUGGGAGAUUAUACUUUCCACUCAGAUGGGGGGUCUAGAAUCAUUGAUUAUAACUUUGCAAGAUACUUAUAGAUAUUUAAAUUAAUGAUAUUAUAGUUUUGUCUGAUAUGUAUUCAGAUCAUUUCCCUAUACUUUGCCUUCUGUCUAGCUUAAGUAACUUAGUUGUAUUUCAGGGAAAAUGUUCCAGAUGGAU
This 416-nucleotide long non-coding RNA is filed under the name Androctonus crassicauda. Lineage: Eukaryota; Metazoa; Arthropoda; Arachnida; Scorpiones; Buthidae. The record is from RNAcentral.